This 441-nucleotide ribosomal RNA is filed under the name uncultured bacterium. Its description in RNAcentral is "partial 16S ribosomal RNA". It matches the Rfam family "Bacterial small subunit ribosomal RNA", at positions 338 to 795 of the family's 1533-position model. The record is from RNAcentral.
CCUACGGGUGGCAGCAGUGGGGAAUAUUGGGCAAUGGAGGAAACUCUGACCCAGCAACGCCGCGUGAAGGAUGAAGGUUUUCGGAUUGUAAACCUCUGUCGCGAGGGAUGAAGAAUGACGGUACCUCGUAAGAAAGCCCCGGCAAACUACGUGCCAGCAGCCGCGGUAAUACGUAGGGAGCAAGCGUUAUCCGGAUUUACUGGGUGUAAAGGGCGUGUAGGCGGGCAUGCAAGACAGAAGUGAAAUCCGGGGGCUUAACCUCCGAACUGCUUUUGGAACUGCGUGUCUUGAGUGAUGGAGAGGCAUGCGGAAUGCCCAGUGUAGCGGUGAAAGGCGUAGAUAUUGGGAAGAACACCAGUGGCGAAGGCGGCCUGCUGGACAUUAACUGACGCUGAGGCGCGAAAGCGUGGGGAGCAAACAGGAUUAGAUACCCUUGUAGUC